Molecule: ribosomal RNA, 439 nt
Filed under: uncultured bacterium
Lineage: Bacteria
Description: partial 16S ribosomal RNA
Rfam family: Bacterial small subunit ribosomal RNA
Source: RNAcentral
CCUACGGGGGGCAGCAGUGGGGAAUAUUGCACAAUGGGCGAAAGCCUGAUGCAGCAACGCCGCGUGAGCGAUGAAGGCCUUCGGGUCGUAAAGCUCUGUCCUCAAGGAAGAUAAUGACGGUAGUUGAGGAGGAAGCACCGGCUAACUACGUGCCAGCAGCCGCGGUAAUACGAGGGGGGCUAGCGUUAUCCGGAAUUACUGGGCGUAAGGGGUGCGUAGGUGGUUUCUUAAGUCAGAGGUGAAAGGCUACGGCUCAACCGUAGUAAGCCUUUGAAACUGGGGAACUGGAGUGCAGGAGAGGAGAGUGGAAUUCCUAGUGUAGCGGUGAAAUGCGUAGAUAUUAGGAGGAACACCAGUGGCGAAGGCGGCUGUCUGGACUGUAACUGACACUGAGGCACGAAAGCGUGGGGAGCAAACAGGAUUAGAUACCCGGGUAGUC